UGUCAUAUCACCGUAAAACACCCGGUCUCGUACGAUCACCGAAGUUAAGCAACGUCGAGUUUGGUUCGUAGAUUGGUGACCGUUUGGGAAUACCAAGCGCUGUAAU
Molecule: non-coding RNA, 106 nt
Organism: Acanthosepion pharaonis
Lineage: Eukaryota; Metazoa; Mollusca; Cephalopoda; Sepiida; Sepiidae
Source: the annotation of a GenBank genome assembly